AGGGGCGAAGGAAUCCUCUAGGAAAGCAUGGAAAGUCUAAAAAAAAAAGGUAUCUGCUAAAAUCCGAUUCGACGGAUGAUCCUCGCCGAUGACUGCCAAGGCACAAUGGAAGAAAUCGAAUAAGAAAGACAGAGAGGAGAUCGAGGCACGGUAAAAGAGUAGUAGAGGUAGUUUCAUUCUUUCUUCGGGGGGAGUUUAGAAUCGGGGGUUUUCACCGUGCUCGCGUGGAAAUGAGGUGGAAAACCGCACCCUCGAGACUCGACUCACCUUUUCUUUACGUUUUCGAGAAUACUAACCGAAGAUUUCACCAACACCCCGCGGUUUCCUGAUAUUACAAAUGCGUGCGUAGAAUGGCGCGGAGAGCGAGUUCUCGAGGCAGUGGAGCGCGAAGAAAAUCGUGCCAAGGGAGGCAACAAGAACUCGUCGUCAUUUCUGAAUUAAUCUCAUUCGACUGCCCCCUUUAUACUCUCCCUCGCAUCCUGCGGGGCAAGAGGCUCGUAGCCGCUUCGUGGCCUCAAGGUUAAUUGGAACGAGAGUUAGAAAAGUAAAAGGAUCGGAUAGAAAUCCCACGUGAUGAAGGUCACGUAAGUUUUCUUACCGGCCCCCU
Molecule: long non-coding RNA, 607 nt
Organism: Apis dorsata (giant honeybee)
Lineage: Eukaryota; Metazoa; Arthropoda; Insecta; Hymenoptera; Apidae
Exons: 2
Source: RefSeq, a predicted model, not a curated record